UCCCUGGCGGUCCAGUGGCUAAGACUCUGUGUUCCCAAUGCAGGGGGCCUGGGUUCGAUCCCUGGCCAGGGAA
Molecule: transfer RNA, 73 nt
Filed under: Bos taurus (domestic cattle)
Lineage: Eukaryota; Metazoa; Chordata; Mammalia; Artiodactyla; Bovidae
Also listed under: 1 other name
Rfam family: tRNA
About the family: Transfer RNA (tRNA) molecules are approximately 80 nucleotides in length. Their secondary structure includes four short double-helical elements and three loops (D, anti-codon, and T loops). Further hydrogen bonds mediate the characteristic L-shaped molecular structure. tRNAs have two regions of fundamental functional importance: the anti-codon, which is responsible for specific mRNA codon recognition, and the 3' end, to which the tRNAs corresponding amino acid is attached (by aminoacyl-tRNA synthetases). tRNAs cope with the degeneracy of the genetic code in two manners: having more than one tRNA (with a specific anti-codon) for a particular amino acid; and 'wobble' base-pairing, i.e. permitting non-standard base-pairing at the 3rd anti-codon position.
Source: Rfam by way of RNAcentral